GAUUUAUUUUAUUCAUUCUGGGGGCUUUCACAGCUUUAUGGCUGUUGGAUAUUUAUGUCCCCAAACUUGCAGCAAGUUUGGUGAAGGCCCCUAAAUUUAUUUUAAUUUAGGUUUUUUUAUUCUCUUUUGGUAGAUGGGCUCUAUAUUAAUAUUUAUCUUUUUAUUAUGGCUGUGUUUUUAAGAGUCUUAAGGGGAGGGAACCUGUUUUAAGAUGUGUGGGUACUUUUUCUCUUAAUGGAAUGCAUUUCCUGCAAGGCUGCUCAGGUAGUCCUUAAGACACACUGCCCCUCCCCAUCUUUCCCUGCAUUGCGUUUGUGCUGUAUUUGUUUUUGGGUUUGGUAGUGUUCAUUUUGUGUAGUCUCUGAAUUAGUGGCAUGUAAAUACCAAUUAUUGUUUUCUCUUCUGAGGAUAUGUAUCUAUUGAAAAGCUUAAAAUAGAUUUGAACUAGUAAGUUAAUUGCUACAAAAAUUUGUAGCCCCAAUUACAGAAUACAGUUUCUUUGAAGAAGGUUAAGAUGUUAAUACUGCUGUGUUUGUAAGCUGCACCUCAACAAAUAUUAAUGUAGAGCCCUGCGAAGAAAUAGAGAUCAGAUCCAAGUUGAUAACACAGAGAGUGAGAAAUCAAAGCUGCAGAUUUUUCAGCUUGCCAGUUUCAGGGAGAACCUUUUCCUCAAUCUCUUUCCUCAGUUCAGGGAGAACUUUUUCCUCCAUCUCAAAUAUGUCAAAUUCGAGGAUGUUUUGACUAUUGCAACAAUAGUAAGAGUUGAAAAACUUUUCUUUUAAACCUUGAGAGAUUCUGUUGCAUGUUCAAAAUUAGCUUUAUUUGAAGUUCCUUCUUUCACGUGGUGCCUAGCAAAAAUUUCUACCCUUUGUGAAGAAAAAGGUGUUCAUUCUGUUGCAGAUCCAUUGUUUAUGAAUGCUUGAGGUUGCUUAAAGAAGGCUUCAGAACAGCAGGUUUUGCCUAAGGAGGUCUUGCAGCAUACCAGCAGUGAAAUAGUAAAUAAACAAAUGUGGGAGUCUGGUUUGACUUCUUUUUUUUUUUUUUUUUUUUUAAGUUUUUGAGAUAUUUUUCAAGUUUGUGGUCAGGCUUUUUUAUGAGCAUAGUUGUUUUUCUUCAAGAUUUUGCUUAAUGAUGACCCCUAAUGGGAUUUCAAGUAAUUUUAAUUCAAGGAGAGAGUUGUAAUUAACUUAGAGUGUAUUGCACAUUGCUGUUGUACCCUUCUUUGUUUGUACUCUGCCCUUUGCAUUUUUCCUGUAGAAGGCCCCCCACAAAAUCCCUGUCUGACUGGAAAAUUGACAUGUCCAUGUUAACUGUUUCAGAAUGGUUACUGAGCAUGGUCUUGCUUUGCUAAUUCUCAUUGUGGUGCUCCCCCUGAUAACAGUGAAGAUGAGAACAAGUCUUCAAGAUAAACUACUGCAACCAGGACUUCUUUCACUUGCUUAAUUUAUAGGAUCAUUUGGCUUAAUUCUUUUUUCCCUGGAAUGUCUAACAAAAGUGUUUGACUCAAAAUAAUACAUUGUGGGGCUUGUAUUUCUUGCUUAAAGUAUCUUAAUCUCUUAGAGUCUCAAAAUAAAAAUUCCUCUUUAUUUUGAGGGAUGAAGUAUGGUUCUUAGUUAUGUUCCAGUAUUGCAGCUCUCAUUGCAGCAGUUUGUGUAUCACAAAGUUGGACAUCUUGCUGUUAGUGAAAUUUUUUUACUAAAGUGGAUGGUAUUUCAGUGACAUGAAUUUUAUAGAUAUUAACAAAAUGUGGUCUUGCAGUUCAGGUUUUUUAAGCUUAAGUAGGGGCACAUAACUUUUUUAAAGGAGCAGGAGUUACUGAUACUCUGCUAAAUUGGGUAAAUUUGUACCUGAUCUGUUAAACAAGAAAAGUAACUUGAGAUGUGGUAAAUAAAGUACAUACCGCACAUGAUGACCUUUUUAAAAAAUCUGUAUGCUUGCAACCAAAAUAAUCAGACCAGGGAAACAGUGGUAGUGACUGGGUUCUGUAAGAAUGCAGCUGCCUGUGACUGCUGUUCUGUCUGUCAUGGUUGGGCUAGGUUGGAAGUAGUUCAGAGGAAAGAAAGUUUUGGGACAGCCAUUUAAGGGAUCAAGAGGAAUCAAAGUGUAAAUUGUAAUGUAUAUAAAAGUUCUUUCUGAAGUUCUGAAAAACACUUGGUGAGAGGUUUCUGGCACACUGUAAGCAGCAACAUAGUGCAGUGUUGAUUGCCAGAGCACAGAUUCCCAGUAAGGCUGUGCUAAAGCAAAUGCAGUUUUACUGCAGCCUUGUGCAGGUGUGGCUGAGGGGGCUGAGCGCUGGAGCCUGCUGCUCUGGCAGCCAGCCAUAUCCUGUCCUGAACCACAGGAUCCAGGGUGUUAUCCUCAAGCCGUUUGUUCCUGGCAUCCUGCUGAGUCAGUUUUGACUGUCCCUGGUGUGAAUAAUUUUCAGGCUUGGUACUUACAUACCUGGACACUGUUGUGAAUAGUGAGGCCCUUGUAUCUUCUGAACAAGUUUACAAUAACCUCCUAAAUUCUUGCGUGUUUUCCCAGUAGGGACAGUCAGCAACACUGCUGUUUUAAUGGCAGUGAAUUUGACUGCUGCAGAAAUACUGUCUUGAACUUACUGACCUUAAGGUUUUUCUUUCUUGAGGAUAUAAAGAAGUGAAAAAGUUUUGAGAAAAUAGUAGAAUUUUAAUGCCAGUACCAUCUUAACUAAAAGCAAAGAAGCACAUGACAUUGAGAACUUGAAAGCUUCCUUAUAAAUUCUCUUGUUAGCAGUUAGUAUGUCUCUCUGGCAGCUGACUGCCUUAUACAAGGUUCAAGCUUCUGACAUCUUAAACUUUUUUCCCUUAAGUUUUCUCUUAAAUCUCUACCAUAUUCAGAAAGGGGGCAUGGGUUGUAAAAUUUCAGUUUCUGCUGCUCAUAGUAGCCAAUAUGUAGAACUGAUUUUUGCUAACAGCAAUUUUAAUUACCUGAAAUGAAUGCUGUACAGCCAAAGGAAACUUACAUCAUCUCCUAACGUAGGAAGUUACGUAAUGCUUUGAGAUGAAGAUGUCAUGCAGAGCUUUUUUUCUUUUCUCAUUUUUUCACUGACUUACUUGCACUGAAUUCUCUAGCUUCUUUCUUAUAAAUUUAAGUGGGAAAAAAUACAUUUUCCUCUUUCACUUGUAAAGUCGAGAGUAAGAAAAUACACUUUAAGACUUUAAUGAAGGAACCUGGCGAUGUAAGUAUUUUAAUUUCCUUUAUGUUUUCAGUAGGCUACAGGUGACCUUGUUACACUUAUGGGUUAUGUAUGAAAAAUCAGAAGGACAAAUUGAAAGUAGUUUCAUAGUUGCCUUUACUUCACAUGCUUUUCUUAAGCAACAAAUUGCAGUAAUUGAAGUUUGGCAGCUUUUUUUUUUAAUAAAAAAACUAAAUUAUGGGUAAAACACCUUGGUUUAAUACAAUUUGUGUUUCUGUUAACUAGCAGCAGAAUUUCAGCAUUUGCUACUUACUGGUAGAGAAGAAAAAUUCCACAGAACUGCCAGUACAGGUAUACAAGAAUAAAAGGGAUGCCUUGUUGUGAGGCCAUUACCCUGUCAGCAGAAUGUGUCUGUAUUUCUUACACCAUCUGUGGUUGACCCUAGCUGAUGCUAGCAUUAAUGCAAUGCUCAGUACUAAGCUGGAGUGAGUAAAUGCUUUUGGCUGCUCAGUUACCUUGUCAUGUCCUGGUGUUGGCACUGGCUGGAUGCAGACCUGCACUACUUGUUCACUGGCCUGGCAGUCAGUGGGGUUAACUAAAGGCCAGAGUGUGUUCCAUAGUGUCUUAACAAAAAAAAAAGUGCAUUUCUCCAGGAUAGAUCGUAGUAGAACUCUGGUAGAAAGACAUCUCUUUGUGAAACUUUAAAUGGCAGUUACUUACGGCACUUUUUGGUAGAAUAAAGUUCAUUUUCUUUUGAGAUAGGACCAAAACAAGACUGGAAAUCUGAACUUUGAUUACCAGGUAUACAGUGUUAAAAUUGUAGCUCAACUUCUGACACACCAUUAGAGCAGCUGUCCAUUGUAAAGUGGUUCAGCAGUCUUCCCUCCCAGUUCUGGUACUGUGCAUUUGGAACAGUUUGUAAUUUCCCACUAUUUCCUUAGACUCCUUGCUGACUCCCAAUUGCCCUUUUAGAGUUUCUGGUCACUGUGCAGUAAAUUCAAAAUGAGCAAAGCUGUUUUUAAUACCUUCGUAAAGGACCUUUAAUUAAGCACAUGAGUGAAUAGUGUCCCCUCUCGGUAGCAGUAUGGCCACAGAAGUGUGUUGUGAAGGGGUUUUUUCUGUAACUUGAUACUGCUUUUGUAUUAAGUGGUAUGAAAGGGCUGGGAUUACUGAUCUUUUUCGAAAGACAGGUGGUGGCAAAAUACUGAUGUUGAAUUUAAUUCAAGAAAGUGAAAGACUGGUAAGUAUGUGCAUCACUUUAAUGCAUGCAAAUAAUAGUAACAAUAACAAGCUUAAUUUUAUAGCAUUCAGUUUACAAAGAAGAUAAAAUACGGAGCUGACAUCAUUUGCAUCCACUGGGAACCCUCUCUGAACUGUUCUUCAAGAAUGGGUCAUUGCACAUACAGCCAUCUGUAAUGUGUGACAUUUUGUAACAGUGUCUGAUUAAACAGAAGUGAACCAC
This is a long non-coding RNA of Pyrgilauda ruficollis (rufous-necked snowfinch), 4619 nucleotides long. RefSeq lists it as uncharacterized. Lineage: Eukaryota; Metazoa; Chordata; Aves; Passeriformes; Passeridae. The record is from RefSeq and is a predicted model, not a curated record. The transcript has 2 exons.